Small nucleolar RNA from Nannospalax galili (Upper Galilee mountains blind mole rat), 134 nucleotides. Lineage: Eukaryota; Metazoa; Chordata; Mammalia; Rodentia; Spalacidae. The record is from Ensembl.
AUUCAUGUAACUUUGGGGCUUGGCAGCUCUGGCAGCCUCUCCUCUUAGACAUGGACCAGCAACUUCUUAUUUAUUUGAAAAUCUGCUAAAUGGUAGUUUCAACAAAAUGAUUCUGAUUUGCACAAGUAACAUUU